Molecule: long non-coding RNA, 1248 nt
Organism: Vigna unguiculata (cowpea)
Lineage: Eukaryota; Viridiplantae; Streptophyta; Magnoliopsida; Fabales; Fabaceae
Source: RefSeq, a predicted model, not a curated record
CAACUUGAUCUCUUCUGAAAUGUCAUCCUCUUCUUUCAAGACUAUUGCUUCCAUUGAUUCACAGUCAGUGACUUCUAUAUGUUCAAGAUUCUCUAACUUGUUCACUGAUGAUAAUGUGAAUAAAUAUGUCAAUUCAUUACAGUUGUCUAUGUACAUUUCUUUUACAUACGUGAAAGUCACAGAAGGAGUAGAAUGCACUAAUGUUUUCAAAUCAGGACAAUUGAUAACAUACAAUUGUUGGAGCUUUUCACUAUCACAAAUCACGUUUAACCAUGGGAUUUGAGUUUGGAAUACUUCGAGGCAACUGCACUCGCUUAUAGUCAUUUUUGUUAAAUUGGGCAUCUUCUGGAGUAUUUGAAUGGGCAAAUCAGGCGAAAACUAUGAUUCGUGGGCUGCAAAAUUGAGAACUUAUUUGACAGCUCAAACAAUGUGGGAAGUAGUGGAAAAUCGAAGUACUUCAACCCCUUUACUAGAGAAUCCAACCGUGGCUCAAAUAAUAUAUUGAAAAAGUGGCACAGGAAGACAGAACACUUGCCAUUGUACAUGUAGCAAUACACGAUGACAUUUUUAUCAAGAUAUUGAAUUUUUAAACAGAAAAGAAGGCCUGGGACAAGCUCAAGGAGGAGUUCAUGGCAAUGAAAGUACAAGGAUGAUAAAGGUGCUGAAUUUGAGAAGAUAAUUUGAAGUAAUCAAAGUGAAGGAGUUUGUCUAAAAAAGAAAAGGAUCUUUUGACAGACUUUAUAAAGUGGUUAUUCAAAUCAAAUUGCUAGGUCAAGAGCUUAAAUAUCAAAGAUUUGUGGAGAAAGUUUUAGUGUGUCUUUGAUAAAGGUUUGAGUCAAAAAUCCCCUUUCUAAAAGAAAAUAAAGAUUUUUCUCACAUUUCACUUGGAUAACUUGUUAAUGCUUUGCAAGUCACUGAGCAAAGAAGAUCAUUAAGAAUGGAAGAAAAUGUUGAAGGUACUUUUGUGGCUAACAACAAAAGCAAACCUCAAGGUAGAAACAACUAUGAAAAAAUAAGCCUUUUGGUGGGAAGAAAGGCAUUAGAAAAAAAAGAAUACAAAAACAAAAGAGGAGGUUGGAAAGAGAAGUUUCCACCUUGCUCUCAUUGUAAAAAAACAAACCAUACAGAAAAUUAUUGUUGGUUUAGACUUGGAGUAAAAUGUAGGGUCUACAAUCAACUUGCUCAUAUAGAAAAAGUUUGUAGAAAUUAAUAAACAUUUGCUUUUGUAUCUGCAGAUUGUUUUUUUAA